RNAcentral lists this ribosomal RNA (253 nucleotides) under uncultured bacterium. RNAcentral's name for it is "partial 16S ribosomal RNA". It matches the Rfam family "Bacterial small subunit ribosomal RNA", at positions 524 to 776 of the family's 1533-position model. The record is from RNAcentral.
UACGUAGGGGGCUAGCGUUGUCCGGAUUUAUUGGGCGUAAAGAGCGUGUAGGCGGCCAGGUAGGUCCGCUGUGAAAGUCCGAGGCUCAACCUCGGAAUGUCGGCGGAAACCCUCUGGCUAGAGUCCGGAAGAGGAGAGUGGAAUUCCCGGUGUAGCGGUGAAAUGCGCAGAUAUCGGGAGGAACACCAGCGGCGAAGGCGGCACUCUGGGCUGGUACUGACGCUGAGGAGCGAAAGCGUGGGUAGCAAACAGG